This 68-nucleotide transfer RNA is filed under the name Roseospira visakhapatnamensis. RNAcentral describes it as "tRNA-OTHER". The record is from RNAcentral. Lineage: Bacteria; Pseudomonadati; Pseudomonadota; Alphaproteobacteria; Rhodospirillales; Rhodospirillaceae.
GUAUUCACAGGAACCCAAACUGACUUUUAAUCAGCGGGUCCCAGGUUCGAGUCCUGGUGGGCACACCA